RNAcentral lists this ribosomal RNA (494 nucleotides) under uncultured bacterium. RNAcentral's name for it is "partial 16S ribosomal RNA". It matches the Rfam family "Bacterial small subunit ribosomal RNA", at positions 28 to 507 of the family's 1533-position model. The record is from RNAcentral.
GACGAACGCUGGCGGCGCGCUUAACACAUGCCAGUCGAACGGAAAGGCCUGCUUUCCCUUGUGGAUUGCGGGUACUCGAGUGGCGAACGGGUGAGUAACACGUGAGUGAUCUGCCCCCAACUUGGGUAUAAGCCUGGGAAACUGGGUCUAAUUCCCGAUAGGACUGCAGGGUGGUGCCUGUGGUGGAAAACGAUUUUCUAGUGGUUGGGGAUGAGCUCGCGGCCUAUCAGCUUGUUGGUGGGGUAAUGGCCUACCAAGGCGGCGACGGGUAGCCGGCCUGAGAGGGUGGACGGCCACAUUGGGACUGAGAUACGGCCCAGACUCCUACGGGAGGCAGCAGUGGGGAAUAUUGCACAAUGGGCGGAAGCCUGAUGCAGCGACGCCGCGUGGGGGAUGACGGCCUUCGGGUGGUAAACCCCUUUCGACCGCGAGGAAGCCACCUGGUUGGAAGGGUGGUGACGGUAGUGGUAGAAGAAGCACCGGCUAACUACGUG